CGUAACGCGUAUACAAUUUACCUUUUACAGGGGGAUAGCCCAGAGAAAUUUGGAUUAAUAUCCCAUAGUAUUAUUGAUUGGCAUCAAUUAAUAAUUAAAGCUUCGGUGGUAAAAGAUGAGUAUGCGUUCUAUUAGCUAGAUGGUAAGGUAACGGCUUACCAUGGCAACGAUAGAUAGGGGCCCUGAGAGGGGGAUCCCCCACACUGGUACUGAGACACGGACCAGACUCCUACGGGAGGCAGCAGUGAGGAAUAUUGGACAAUGGGCGCAAGCCUGAUCCAGCCAUGCCGCGUGCAGGAAGACGGCCCUAUGGGUUGUAAACUGCUUUUAUACAGGAAGAAACCUUUCCACGUGUGGAGAGCUGACGGUACUGUAAGAAUAAGCACCGGCUAACUCCGUGCCAGCAGCCGCGGUAAUACGGAGGGUGCAAGCGUUAUCCGGAAUCAUUGGGUUUAAAGGGUCCGUAGGCGGAUUAAUAAGUCAGAGGUGAAAUCCCACAGCUUAACUGUGGAACUGCCUUUGAUACUGUUAGUCUUGAGUUAUAUGGAAGUAGAUAGAAUGUGUAGUGUAGCGGUGAAAUGCAUAGAUAUUACACAGAAUACCGAUUGCGAAGGCAGUCUACUACGUAUAUACUGACGCUAAUGGACGAAAGCGUGGGGAGCGAACAGGAUUAGAUACCCUGGUAGUCCACGCCGUAAACGAUGGACACUAGUUGUUGGAGAUUAUUUCAGUGACUAAGCGAAAGUGAUAAGUGUCCCACCUGGGGAGUACGAUCGCAAGAUUGAAACUCAAAGGAAUUGACGGGGGCCCGCACAAGCGGUGGAGCAUGUGGUUUAAUUCGAUCAUACGCGAGGAACCUUACCAGGGCUUAAAUGUAGUCUGACAGCUUUAGAGAUAGAGUUUUCUUCGGACAGAUUACAAGGUGCUGCAUGGUUGUCGUCAGCUCGUGCCGUGAGGUGUCAGGUUAAGUCCUAUAACGAGCGCAACCCCUGUCGUUAGUUGUCAGCAAGUAAAGUUGGGGACUCUAACGAGACUGCCUACGCAAGUAGAGAGGAAGGUGGGGAUGACGUCAAAUCAUCACGGCCCUUACGUCCUGGGCCACACACGUGCUACAAUGGUAUGGACAAUGAGCAGCCAUCUGGCAACAGAGAGCAAAUCUAUAAACCAUAUCACAGUUCGGAUCGGAGUCUGCAAUUUGACUCCGUGAAGCUGGAAUCGCUAGUAAUCGGAUAUCAGCCAUGAUCCGGUGAAUACGUUCCCGGGCCUUGUACACACCGCCCGUCAAGCCAUGGAAGCUGGGAGUGCCUGAAGUCGGUCACCGCAAGGAGCCGCCUAGGGUAAAACUGGUGACUAGGGCU
This 1358-nucleotide ribosomal RNA is filed under the name uncultured prokaryote. RNAcentral describes it as "partial 16S ribosomal RNA". It matches the Rfam family "Bacterial small subunit ribosomal RNA", at positions 109 to 1482 of the family's 1533-position model. The record is from RNAcentral.